AGGAAGUAAAAGUCGUAACAAGGUUUCCGUAGGUGAACCUGCGGAAGGAUCAUUACAGAGUUCAUGCCCGAAAGGGUAGACCUCCCACCCUUGUGUAUUAUUACUUUGUUGCUUUGGCGAGCUGCCUUCGGGCCUUGUAUGCUCGCCAGAGAAUACCAAAACUCUUUUUAUUAAUGUCGUCUGAGUACUAUAUAAUAGUUAAAACUUUCAACAACGGAUCUCUUGGUUCUGGCAUCGAUGAAGAACGCAGCGAAAUGCGAUAAGUAAUGUGAAUUGCAGAAUUCAGUGAAUCAUCGAAUCUUUGAACGCACAUUGCGCCCCUUGGUAUUCCGGGGGGCAUGCCUGUUCGAGCGUCAUUUCAACCCUCAAGCUUAGCUUGGUAUUGAGUCUAUGUCAGUAAUGGCAGGCUCUAAAAUCAGUGGCGGCGCCGCUGGGUCCUGAACGUAGUAAUAUCUCUCGUUACAGGUUCUCGGUGUGCUUCUGCCAAAAC
This 490-nucleotide unclassified non-coding RNA is filed under the name Botrytis cinerea. RNAcentral's name for it is "sequence contains 18S rRNA gene, ITS1, 5.8S rRNA gene, ITS2, 28S rRNA gene". The stretch from base 203 to 356 matches the Rfam family "5.8S ribosomal RNA". The record is from RNAcentral. Lineage: Eukaryota; Fungi; Ascomycota; Leotiomycetes; Helotiales; Sclerotiniaceae.